GCGACUAUAGUUUAGUGGCAAAACUCAGGUUUGUGGAUCCUGUGUCGAGAGUUCGAUUCUCUCUAGUCGCCCA
Molecule: transfer RNA, 73 nt
Filed under: Candidatus Kaiserbacteria bacterium RIFCSPHIGHO2_01_FULL_46_22
Lineage: Bacteria; Candidatus Kaiseribacteriota
Description: tRNA-His
Rfam family: tRNA
About the family: Transfer RNA (tRNA) molecules are approximately 80 nucleotides in length.
Source: RNAcentral